This 357-nucleotide ribosomal RNA is filed under the name Priestia megaterium. Its description in RNAcentral is "bacterial SSU rRNA". It matches the Rfam family "Bacterial small subunit ribosomal RNA", at positions 547 to 903 of the family's 1533-position model. Lineage: Bacteria; Bacillati; Bacillota; Bacilli; Caryophanales; Bacillaceae. The record is from RNAcentral.
GGAAUUAUUGGGCGUAAGCGCGCGCAGGCGGUUUCUUAAGUCUGAUGUGAAAGCCCACGGCCCUUUCGUGGAGGGUCAUUGGAAACUGGGGAACUUGAGUGCACCUUAGAAAAGCGGAAUUCCACGUGUAGCGGUGAAAUGCGUACAGAUGUGGAGGAACACCAGUGGCGAAGGCGGCUUUCUCCUCUGUAACUGACGCUGAGGUGCGAAAGCGUGGGGAGCAAACCGGAUUAGAUUCCCUGGCCUUCCACGCCGUAAACGAUGAGUGCUAAGCGUUAGAGGCCUUCCGCCUCUUACCGCUGCAGCUAACGCUUUAACCUCUCCGCCUGGGGAGGACGGUCGCAAGACUGAAACUCA